CUAGGGUUGAAUGACGCGCUGCAGGGAGGAGUAUCAAGGAACUUUUUACAGCUGACUGCAUGCAUAGGGUCUCGUCCGUACUCCGUUGGUGAUUUUUUUUUUGGGUGGGGGGUCGGUGAAAUAUUGUUUUUGACACAUCCUUGCGUGUUGUGGCAAGGUCUGUCUCAAGGACAGGACAAUCCAGAGGAAAACAAAUAGAAGUUUC
This 205-nucleotide long non-coding RNA is filed under the name Setaria italica (foxtail millet). RNAcentral describes it as "long non-coding RNA (SITA_LNC002931)". The record is from RNAcentral. Lineage: Eukaryota; Viridiplantae; Streptophyta; Magnoliopsida; Poales; Poaceae.